Molecule: long non-coding RNA, 238 nt
Organism: Symphalangus syndactylus (siamang)
Lineage: Eukaryota; Metazoa; Chordata; Mammalia; Primates; Hylobatidae
Source: RefSeq, a predicted model, not a curated record
AAGGGGAAGAGAAAGAGUGGGAGGAAUGAGAGGCAAGAAGCAGCGGGUAGCACUUUUCUCUGAAUCAAAGAGACGUGAAACUAGGAACUUCCAGUUUCCCAAGACCCAACAUUGAAUUCAAUCAGAGGUAAAGAUUCUGGACUAUUGGAUUAAAUGAGGAGGCAGGAGCUACUAUCUCUUGUAGUGUGAAACCAGGGCCAGGGAUGAAGAUACGGACACAUCUCACCUUGCCAGGGAU